This 106-nucleotide ribosomal RNA is filed under the name Monilinia laxa. RNAcentral describes it as "partial 28S ribosomal RNA". The stretch from base 50 to 106 matches the Rfam family "Eukaryotic large subunit ribosomal RNA", at positions 1 to 57 of the family's 3401-position model. The record is from RNAcentral. Lineage: Eukaryota; Fungi; Ascomycota; Leotiomycetes; Helotiales; Sclerotiniaceae.
CGUUACAGGUUCUCGGUGUGCUUCUGCCAAAACCCAAAUUUUCUAUGGUUGACCUCGGAUCAGGUAGGGAUACCCGCUGAACUUAAGCAUAUCAAUAAGCGGAGGA